Molecule: long non-coding RNA, 1102 nt
Organism: Aegilops tauschii subsp. strangulata
Lineage: Eukaryota; Viridiplantae; Streptophyta; Magnoliopsida; Poales; Poaceae
Source: RefSeq, a predicted model, not a curated record
CAUCUCUUUCCCUUCGGUCUCCUGCGUGUAUUUUUCUGGGGCGGGCGAGAGCAAGCACAACGUGAUGCUUGUUCUCUGCUUGGGCGCUGUCAUGUCCCUCCACUUCCUCUCCGAAGGCGCACCUACUCUGCCGCUGCCCUUUGUCGUGCGUGCACUCGCGCUGCUGCCUUAUCUUCUCUCUCACGCGCGUGUGCGUUGCAGGGGAGCUGCCGCAGCUGCCUUCUCUCUGUGUGCAGAAGCUAUUCUCUUCUCACAUCCGUGGUUGCUGACUGCCGUAUGUAUCGUGACCUCCCAUGGUGGCCAUGCAGGAAUCGCUCAGCAGAACAAUAGCCUGGACUCCCAAGCGUAGGUAGCUGACUGAGAGGGAUGGUUCAGAGGAGAACUAACAACAACAGCGGCAAAACUGGGCUAAAUCGACAGUUUACUGAAGAUAUAAGUAGCAAGGCCAACAGGAACAUCAAAGAUAAAAUAGCAAACUAAACGUUAAGUUUUUCAUUACUCCUUCCUCCCUUCCACCCCUCAAGUUUUAUAACACAGCCCGAGCCACAAGCUUAGUUUCUUAAUCUUGAUUACAACAAAUGAGCUCAUUUACUUAGUAAGUAUCUCAAAAGGAUUUUUUUUUAUUUUCUCAAAAGGAAAUUACAGUACAGCCUUACGAUUGCAAUCAAAAAGGGCAAGACGGAAGCUCAGGCAUAGAUGUAGCCCGAUGCUCUACUGAACAUAACUGAAGAACAGAACAAGUGUCGAACUUAACUGAGGAAUGGUUGCUGAACCUGACAAAGUAUGCGGCGGAAGGAGAGCGAGCGGUGGUGUGCUCUGGCACCAAGGGUGAGCGAUGGCUAGUCCGUUCCUGGGAGGCGACGGUAGCUCUGUUCUGGGGAGGAGAUGCCGAGGAUUUCGAUUUUUCUAGCCUCUUUCUUAAUGUCAAUUUUAUUUUUGAUCCCCAUCUGUGUUUUUGUAUGGCUAUCUUGUGAUUGGUUUCUCUCUGAUCUUUAAUGGCCUAACCCGUGUACCUUUUCUCCUUUUUCUUGUUAUGCAUUAGGCUAUUUUGUUAAAAUAUACCGUAUUGUCCACGAAUGAAUAAAGUGCAAUGCCCAAUUAA